This 750-nucleotide ribosomal RNA is filed under the name uncultured bacterium. RNAcentral's name for it is "bacterial SSU rRNA". It matches the Rfam family "Bacterial small subunit ribosomal RNA", at positions 28 to 776 of the family's 1533-position model. The record is from RNAcentral.
AUUGAACGCUGGCGGCAGGCUUAACACAUGCAAGUCGAACGAUGAAGAUAUAGCUUGCUAUAUCGGAUUAGUGGCGGACGGGUGAGUAACACUUAGGAAUCUACCUUUUAGCGGGGGAUAGCUCGGGGAAACUCGAAUUAAUACCGCAUAAUUUCUACGGAAUAAAGAGGGCUUUUAGCUCUCACUAGAAGAUGAGCCUAAGUAAGAUUAGCUAGUUGGUGGGGUAAAAGCCUACCAAGGCGACGAUCUUUAGCUGGUCUGAGAGGAUGAUCGGCCACACUGGGACUGAGACACGGCCCAGACUCCUACGGGAGGCAGCAGUGGGGAAUAUUGGACAAUGGGGGCAACCCUGAUCCAGCCAUGCCGCGUGUGUGAAGAAGGCCUUUUGGUUGUAAAGCACUUUAAGCAGUGAAGAAGACCUAUUGGUUAAUACCCAAUAGCGAUGACAUUAACUGCAGAAUAAGCACCGGCUAACUCUGUGCCAGCAGCCGCGGUAAUACAGAGGGUGCAAGCGUUAAUCGGAAUUGCUGGGCGUAAAGCGAGCGUAGGUGGUUAAAUAAGUCAGAUGUGACAGCCCUGGGCUCAACCUAGGAACGGCAUCUGAAACUAUUUAACUAGAGUAGGUGAGAGGGAAGUAGAAUUUCAGGUGUAGCGGUGAAAUGCGUAGAGAUCUGAGGGAAUACCGAUGGCGAAGGCAGCUUCCUGGCAUCAUACUGACACUGAGGCUCGAAAGCGUGGGUAGCAAACAGG